RNAcentral lists this ribosomal RNA (253 nucleotides) under uncultured bacterium. RNAcentral describes it as "partial 16S ribosomal RNA". It matches the Rfam family "Bacterial small subunit ribosomal RNA", at positions 524 to 776 of the family's 1533-position model. The record is from RNAcentral.
UACGUAGGGAGCAAGCGUUGUUCGGAUUUACUGGGCGUAAAGGGCGAGUAGGCGGCCUCCUAAGUCAGACGUGAAAUCCCCCGGCUUAACCUGGGAACUGCGUCUGAUACUGGGAAGCUUGAGUAUGGGAGAGGGAAGUGGAAUUUCCGGUGUAGCGGUGAAAUGCGUAGAUAUCGGAAGGAACAUCAGUGGCGAAGGCGACUUCCUGGACCAAUACUGACGCUCAGGUGCGAAAGCGUGGGGAGCAAACAGG